RNAcentral lists this ribosomal RNA (660 nucleotides) under Haloterrigena sp. RNAcentral describes it as "bacterial SSU rRNA". It matches the Rfam family "Archaeal small subunit ribosomal RNA", at positions 529 to 1185 of the family's 1478-position model. The record is from RNAcentral. Lineage: Archaea; Methanobacteriati; Methanobacteriota; Halobacteria; Halobacteriales; Natrialbaceae.
CCACGCAAGUUCGUCGGGAAAUCUGCGCGCUUAACGCGCAGGCGUCCGACGGAAACUGUGUGGCUUGGGACCGGAAGACCAGAGGGGUACGUCCGGGGUAGGAGUGAAAUCCCGUAAUCCUGGACGGACCACCGGUGGCGAAAGCGCCUCUGGAAGACGGAUCCGACGGUGAGGGACGAAAGCUCGGGUCACGAACCGGAUUAGAUACCCGGGUAGUCCGAGCUGUAAACGAUGUCUGCUAGGUGUGGCACAGGCUACGAGCCUGUGCUGUGCCGUAGGGAAGCCGUGAAGCAGACCGCCUGGGAAGUACGUCCGCAAGGAUGAAACUUAAAGGAAUUGGCGGGGGAGCACUACAACCGGAGGAGCCUGCGGUUUAAUUGGACUCAACGCCGGACAUCUCACCAGCAUCGACAACGUGCAGUGAAGGUCAGGUUGAUGACCUUACUGGAGCCGUUGAGAGGAGGUGCAUGGCCGCCGUCAGCUCGUACCGUGAGGCGUCCUGUUAAGUCAGGCAACGAGCGAGACCCGCACUCCUAAUUGCCAGCAACACCCUUGUGGUGGUUGGGUACAUUAGGAGGACUGCCAGUGCCAAACUGGAGGAAGGAACGGGCAACGGUAGGUCAGUAUGCCCCGAAUGUGCUGGGCGACACGCGGGCUACA